RNAcentral lists this long non-coding RNA (22644 nucleotides) under Lactuca sativa (garden lettuce). RNAcentral describes it as "long non-coding RNA (LSAT_LNC008752)". Lineage: Eukaryota; Viridiplantae; Streptophyta; Magnoliopsida; Asterales; Asteraceae. The record is from RNAcentral.
AUACAAACCCUAAUGCUUGGAUCUAGGUUUCUCUAUUGUACAUGCAAUUUAUCCAAGACUAUAAACCCUAAUUCUAGCAUACAAGUAAUCAUAUUAACAUAAGAAUGGGUUUAAGAUAUUACCUUGAUUGUUAUGUAGCAAUAACAAUCACAAUUCUCCUUGUAAUGACUUUAGAAAGCUUAGAGUCACAAAUGUCACUCCUCUAAUGGUUCACAAACACCAAGAGCAAGAGGAUGAAGAAGAGAAGAGAAGGAGGCUGCCCAAAAUGCGUGGAAACCCUAGAAGGAAGCUUGUCCACGUUUUUGGAGCAUAAGGGUUCUAUAUAUAGUGAGGCUAUUAGGGUUAUCUAACAAGGAAACCCUAAUUUGGAUGCUUAAGCCCUAAGCAACCCAUGGACUCCUUUCCUUAAAGGCCUUGGACGAUUUCUAAUGGGUUUCCCCAUAGAAUUCAUCCAACCUUAUAAUAUAAGGCAAUCCAUGGCCCAAUUGCAAUUAUCUUAUAAUUACAAUUCCAGUCCCUUAAGUUUAAUUAAUCUCUUUUAGUCACAAACUUAAUUCUUAUUAAUUCUUGACUAAUAUUAAUUAAACAAUAUGAUUUCUCCUUUAAUAUAUUAUUCUCAUAAUAUAUUAAUAAAUCGUAUUUAAUCCUUUCUCUCCAUAAUUCAUCCUAUCAAGUUGCUUUGGUGAAGGCAACCCAAAAGGACCAUGCACCAUCGGGUCAAGUACAUACCAAAAUAGUUAUGGACCUAGACACUAAUCCAACACAUAGUGGUUGGAAAGUAUUGUUUAAACGCUUAUAUAAUAAUAAGAAUAAUAAUUAGUCACGGUAAAUAUUAGACUAAAAUCUAGUGGUAAUAAUACUAGGUUUCGUCGAAGGAAAUUAUUCUAAAGUAAACGAAGCGUUGUCCGAGUACCGAGUCACCACCUUAUCAACUAAGUGCAUGAUCCCUUUCAUCUUACACAUAGAUAUGAAGUAUUUUAUAUAAACUACGUGCUAUGUGUGCAUAUUAUCUGUAUACUUGCUAUCUAUGCUGGAUGAACGAUUUUAUACAAGUUUUAUAUGAUUUAAAAUGUACAUGUAUUUAUAUCUACAUAAUAUGUUGGGUAAAAUAUAGGUAGAUGAAAUAUGAGUUGGAUGACGAGUUGAGAGGUGAUAUAAACCAUGAGGUAAGGGUGAGAGGCGGACGAUAUGAGAAGCCUUGUUCCCAAAUGCUGGGGGCGUCAUCUUGCAGAGUAUGGAUGACAACCACCGACUAUUCUAGACAGUCCAGUGGAACACUAGCAGGCUCGCAAUCUGUAGAUGUUGUGAACGAUGUGUUCACCGGUGUACUCUAAAAACCCAUUGAAAUGUAUUGCGAGUGGACUCUAGAAAACAAUACUGCCAAUAAAACCCUUGCAGAUGCGCCUAAAGGACUCUACCGGCAGAUACGCCUAAAGGACUAUACCGGAAGAUGCGCCUCAUAUAGAAUAUCACAAUUCUGGCAGUUGCGCCUAAGUGAUAAAACUAGCAGUUGUGCUUGACAGCUGUGUCAUUGACAACGAUGGACUUCAUACCUAUUCCUUAGGAUAAUCCUUAGGAAUGAAUGAAUGAGAAAUAGCUGAUUCUUAGGGUAGAUCCUUAAGAGUAAAGAAGAUAAUGAGAAUGGGUAAUUGGGUUAACUGUUUGAUGAUUAAACCUAAUAAUUAUAAUAUUGUGGGUUGAAAACCCUAUGUACUCACCAGGUUUCCAACCUGACCCACUCAGUUUAUUUAUAUCACAGGUGUUGAUAUGAAGUCACAUUACACUGAGAGACUAAGGAAAUAUAAAUCACUAGUGAUAAUGUAUGUAAGUUAUGUUUAUGUUUAUGUUUCUGUAUUAAUGAUGAAAUCCCAAAUGUUUUUAAAUGAAUAAAAAUACUUUUCUUCAGAAAUGCCUUGAUAAUGUAUUUAUCAUGAUUUAUUGGGAACAAAUUCCGCAACAUUUUUAUUAAAAGAGGUACUCUGAUUUUUAUAAAAUAUAAACAAAAUCGGUCUUUUCUGGCCGUGAAAAUGGAGAUGUCACAGUUGGUAUCAGAGCAUUAGUUUAAGCGAACUAGGAAUAUGGAUUUAUUUCUAGACUUAAACUUAGAAUGCUAAGCGAUGAUCGUGAGGAGUGUGUCCAAUAUAUUUUAGGUAGUACACCUGAAUAGACACAAGCACUAGCUAAUUUAGGGAAAAUGCCUAACAUGCUUUUAUGUGCUAAAUGAGUUAUGAUAUGCAUUGUAUGAUCGGAUCUAUGGUUUGUUGCCGACUGGAUCUGGAAACUUUAUGUGUUGAUGUGCACAAAAGUACCCACUAAUUUUAAUAUUUAUAACCUAACAAACUUAGACUAACUAUGCACUUAUAGGCAGUGUACCUAGUCAGAUUACAGUAUAGCUUGGGUAAGUCGGGUGUCGAUCACAGGGAACGGUGGAUUAAUUUAAUAUAUUUGAUUAUAGGUUACAGGUCACACGAAAAUAAUAAAGAAAAUGGUUUAAUAAAAUUCAAACUACCAACUCUCGAUAAACUAACAGGAAAACAAAUCUCUUCAGGUACUUUUGGUUUAGAUAAAUUACACCUUAAAAACAUAGACAAUUACAUACACAAAUUCAUUUAUUCAUGUUCACCGAUUCCUAAAAUGAUUAGAUUCACGUUCACUAUAACUACUCCUUUAGCAAACAAGUCAAUUCAAACAGUGAUCAGUUGAUUAAACUAACAUGCUUCCUAGUGUUCAGUUCGUAUCAAGCAAGACUUGUAAAUAUAGUUAAUCNNNNNNNNNNNNNNNNNNNNNNNNNNNNNNNNNNNNNNNNNNNNNNNNNNNNNNNNNNNNNNNNNNNNNNNNNNNNNNNNNNNNNNNNNNNNNNNNNNNNNNNNNNNNNNNNNNNNNNNNNNNNNNNNNNNNNNNNNNNNNNNNNNNNNNNNNNNNNNNNNNNNNNNNNNNNNNNNNNNNNNNNNNNNNNNNNNNNNNNNNNNNNNNNNNNNNNNNNNNNNNNNNNNNNNNNNNNNNNNNNNNNNNNNNNNNNNNNNNNNNNNNNNNNNNCCGACCAUAAAAGCCUCCAACAUAUCCUCAACCAGAAAGAACUCAACAUGAGACAAAGCACCCAAAUCAGAAACUAAAUACAGAAUAGUAACACAAUGGAAUGCUAAACAUGGUCUUGUUAACAAUCCAUAUGAUUACCGACAUGUAUCCGCUCUCCAAUCCUUCCGAUCUCCGCUCCUGUUAGCUUAACGGCCUUCCGGCCGCCUUCUAGACCCUCAAAACGGCUUAACAGAAGUUUAAUAUCGACUAAAUUAAGUUGGUAGUCGAAUUCCCCUCCUGGUUAGCUGAAAAUAGACUUUUAUAACCUUUGUAGCCGACUUACGUAUGCUGGGCGUAAGUCGGAUUACGCUAGGCGUACUAAGGAUUACUACGCGAUUGAACUUAUCCGAGGCCAGCCAUUACACGGGGCGUACACUUAAGUUACGCGGGGCGUAAGUUAAUUUGGUCGCUACGCUUAGCGUAAUUGCUAUUUACGCUAGGCGUACUUGUUGCUCCAGCUUUCUUAAUUACUUUUAGCUUCUAAGCCCGGUUUCCGCUUCAGUCUUUUCUUUUGUGCUUUAUCGACAAUGAAUAGCUGCAAAACAUAAUUCAAAGCAUUAUGAGUACUUUUUAGUUCUAAAAGAGAAUAAAUAAGGCCAAAAUAUUAAGAUAAAGUGCAUAAAAAAUACACAUAUCAUGUGUUCAGAUUUCUAAACGUUUAAAUAUGGUGUUAAAACUGGCAUGUAACUUUUCAGAGUAAUAAGGAGGAAUACACGUCUAAAUCUUCCUUUAUCUAUAUUCUCGUCUCGAUACACCGAACGUCUACUUUGGUGUGCAGAACAUCAUGGUGAAGACUUGUAGUGAAUUGAGUGAAUGGAGGAAAUGAGAAGGCUUACGAUAGUGAAUGAUACCUAUUGGAAGAUAUCGUAAGAGUGAUAUCUUGCCUUUAGAAUGCGUCUAAUAAAUAAUACAUCUAGUACGGGAGAAGUACGUGUUCGGUUAGCAGAAAGAAAUAUUUUUGGUAUAAUCCAUGAAGUUAUCCCAUCGUCUGACGUUCCCAUCACCAACCGAAUUGAAGCAGAAUUGAUGAUUGGAGAUAUGCAUGGAAAAAGUCCCAAUAGAGUCUAGGAAAAAGUUUUAUGAUUGUUUGGACACAUUUGUAUGUGUUAAAAUUGUUUUUGUGAUAAUGACUUGGAGAACUGCGAGACAAUACUUGGGACGGGUAUGAGUAGGUGUGAAAGGCAGUAGAGGCCUAUACUACCGGAAGCACAGGACUCACGCUUGGAUCAGGGAAAGUCACAAGGUUACCAAGAAGCUAGUAAAUGAUACCGUUUUAUUCAAGUAUGUCGUUACCUUCGUUUCGGUAAUGAUUAAUAAGAUGAUUAUUGUUUCGAACCUAGUGGUCAUAUCAAAUUGAGUCCGUCUAAGAUGAGUAUGUUACGUGGUUCAGAGAACCAAGUUCAAUGUAGCACCUAACUUAAGCCAGAAGAUUGAAGUGAAAGAUAAUCCAAGCGGUCAAUAGAAGUAUCGCGCUAGUUAAAGAAGUUGGUAGCUAGAAAUGCUACAUGUGAAAAUCUGAUUAUAUCACACUAGAACAUGAAGGAAGCAUAUUCCAUUCUGGAAUUUGACUCUAAGAGACCUAAGUCUGAGUGUUGCAACAUACGAUGAGAAGUUGGUAACACCCGGUUUCCAGAUCAGAUAGAUUUAGGGCUUCGAGGAGUCAAAGGCAUGAUUUUUGGGUAAAAACGAGGCCCACGACAUGAAUAUGGAGAGGUCACGACGUGAGUAGUGAUGAAAAAAAUUCUAAUUUAAACUAAGCUCAUGAUGUGAGCAAUAGGAGCUCACGAUGUGAGAUGCAUUGCAGCCCAAGGCCAUGAUCUUUUAGGGUUUCCUUCGUAUUUAAACCCCAUAAACUUCAUUUUAGGGUUCCAAAACAGACUCCUUUGUCCCUAAGAUCAGUAAAACCCUAACGCGAUCAUCUCCUUGUGAUUCUUGAGCUUUUGGUGGAAUUUUGAUUGUUUGAAAGUUUUGAUGGUUUGAAGAAGACAAGAUCACUAUUGAAGCAUAGAUUAAGCUUGGAAGAUCCCUUUGCAACCUCUAACAACACCUCUUGACCAUUGUGAGUAAAAAAGAUUCAAUAUUUUUGUUUCCUUGUUUCUAGAUCUAAGGUUUUAUGCAUAUUUAUCAAUGGAUAUAAGAGUUAGAGUGUUGGGACUCAAUAAAGUUAGCAACUUUAUGGGUCCUUAGGGUCCCUUGGUGAUUAUAUGUUAUGGAUAUGAAGUUUUGAUUAUAUGUUAUUGGACAUACAAGACCUUAAAGGAUCAAUUUUUACGGCCCUUGAAGUGUUAGGAAGACUCCUGGAAAAGAUGGAUUAGUAUCUUAAUGGAUUAAAUUUUUUUUGGAUCAAUAUCGCAUUCAGAAUGAACACACAACGUGAGGUUAUGCCUACCACAUUGUGAGGAUCAUGACUCCCAAUCAUUUUGUCAUGUAGUGGCUCGCGAUGUGAGCCAUAGAUGGUCACACCAUGAGGGAUUGUUGACUGUUCACUUCCAUUGACUGUUGACUUUUUUAAAAUUUUGACCUUGGAUCAAAUUUGAAGGAUUUAGACAGUUGAUUUAGAUUCUACCAUGAUUUGGUGAUAGAGGACUUGUGCGAGCAAGCAGUGCAGAAAGGGAGCGCAUCUCCGUGUUUUCGGGUUCUUCAAUUAAGGAGAGUUUUGCCUCAUUAUACCAUGGGUUGAAGGCACCAAUGUUGUCCUACUAUUUUUGGUUAUCAUGUAGUAGAAGGAUGCCAUAUGUAUUGUAUGCAGUCACGUAGGAUAGACAGAUGACUCUUAAUGUAGACUCUCUUGCAUGUUCCUUGUUUGGUUGUGGCUCUAGAGUAUGAUCAUUUGUUUGGGUGUCUAUUAUGAAUUCCUUGGAUUGUUGGUUAUGUAUCCUAGUAUAUAGGAUGUUGCUAUAUUGUAAUGAUCUAUGAGAUUUGUAUCCUGUUAUAUAGGAUCAUGCUAUGUUGUAUUGAUAUCUUAGAUCUUUAUCUUGGUUUAUAGGAUUUUGCUAUGUUGUAGUGAUAUGUUAGAUUUGUAUCCUAGUAUAUAGGAUGUUUUUAUGCGGUAGUGAUAUGUCGAUCUAUAUGACUACCAGUACUUGUUGGUUACCCUUUAGUGGAAUGCCCUAGGGGUUGUAUGUUCUCAUGUAGGAUAUCCUAAGAACUUGAUCUAGGCUUUCUUGCUUGUUCCUUGUUUGGUUGUGGCUCUAAAGUUGGAUCAUAUUUUUGGGUGGCUAUCUAACCUCUGGUUACUUAUGGUUACGAACUGCAUGGGGGUUAGCUGGUAGCGGGACAGUGUGUUGUGUGAAGACUAGUAGGCGGUGGUGAGUUGUAUGAUUGUUAUUUUCUUGUAUUUUGUGCCUACUUAAUCCUUGUUUGUUUAUAUGUCGAUAUAUGGUGGUAGUGGGUUGAGGUGGUCUUGCUUUUGAUGUAGGACAUGAUACCCAUGUUGGAUUAGGUGUCUAAGCCCAUAACUAUAAUUGGUAUGUACUUGACCCGAGAGUAGCAUGGUCCAUUUGGAUUGCAUAUCACCACAACAAUUUGAUAGGAUGGACUUUUGAGAAGAGGUUAUUUAUGAUUUAUUAAUAUGUUAUAAGUUCUAAUAUAUUAAUAUGAAAUCAUAUUAUUUAAUUAGUAUUGAUCAAGAAUUAAUUUAGUGAUCAAAAGAGACUAAUUAAAUGUAAGGGGAUUGAUUUGGUAAAUCAAUCAUUCUUGUGGUGUGGGCUUAUGGUAAUUUAGGAUGGGCUAAACCAAUAUGGUAGUCCAUGGAUAGUCCAUGGAGGUUUUAACCCAUGCAUCCUAAGUAAGAUGAAAAGUCAUUCACAUUAGGGUUUACGUGGAUGUAACCCUAAUCCUAGCCACACUAUAUAAGAAGACCCUAGGCUACUAAAAUCGGCACCAUGUGAUCUUUGGAAGACCAUAACCGAUUUUUAGUGUGCAUAAAAUCUCUCAAAAGUCAUCCUAUGUCUAAGGUGUGUUGUGAACCAUUUGAGGUGUCACACUUGGGGCACUAAGUUCUUAAAGGCCAAAUACAACAAGUUCUACAAGCUACACAAAGAGGUAAACUCUUAACUAGUAUUUUAUGUUGUUUAUGUCAAUUGCAUGCUAGUUGUAGGCUUAAUGCUUUGGAAAUAAUAUUGCAUGUAUAAUUAGAGAAAACAUAGAUCCAAAGCAUUUAGGGUUGUAUGUGCACCAUAGGAUGUUGUACUAUACUAAAACCCAACAACCCAGUGCGGGCCAACUGUAAGUCGUAGGCACGGAGGCUUGGGAAGAGCGGUUGGGUUGAUGCGGUAGGCCAACAAACCCUAGGUAUUCCAUCUUGAUGGUUGAUUGGACCCGUAGCAUGUUGGCCUUCCUGUCCGAGGACUGAUUGGGCCCGUGCACUCUAAUCUGAUGAUUUAUGCAUGCUUGUAUGUUUAUCAUAUGUGGUAUUUUAGGAGAAACUCACUAAGCUUUGUACUUACCUAGUUGUUUAUUGUUUCAGGUAUCAUCGAUUAUUAUGGAAAGGCGAAGGCUAGGUUGUACACACUCAUCAACAGCAUGAAGAUUUUGCGUUCUUAUUUAAUCUAAUUUUCAACAAUUGUAAUUGGGAAUAAAUGGUUUUUCUUAAAAUGGGUUUAUAAUUGGGAAGUUUUACCUUCAUAAAAAGAAAAUUUUUGGUUGUGAAUUUGGGAUGUUACACUAGAAUAUUGUUGAGGAUUCCAGUAAGAGUGGCAUCUAUAGAUAGGAGUUUUUCGAAAUUAAAGUUGGUGAAAUCUUACUUACGUACCACAAUGACCCACGAAAGACUUGUUGUUUGGAAAUGAUAUAUAUCAAUAAACAUGUCAUGCUAAAACAUUCAUACUAAACUACUAUCAAAAAACUUAGCAUAAAAAAGCUUCCUAUAAGAAAACUUCUUUUUCUGUGUCCUUUUAAAAUCUGCAUGUACUGUGAUGGGUUUUGAUAGUUAAAGACGAUACUUUUUCUUAAAAUGGAAAUAAAAGUAUUAUUAUUGAAAUAACUAUUAUUUUAAGACCAUAUUAAAACAAAAUCAUCAAUGAUCCAAUUACAUGUGUUAGAUUAAGACAACCAUAGGGUGUUUAAUCAUAAUAACCUUUGUAGCAAUCGAUCACACUCAGAAUAACAGAGUUGAUGAAGAUGGCAAACACAAAGAGGAUGAUCCUCUACAAAGCUAUCUACUAACAAGUUGAAGUCACCAAGAAUGGUAGUUCUCUUUUGUAAUAUAGAACUUCUUGAGACAUUAAGAACUAAUCCCAAAUUAGUCUUAAAUGUGAAGAACAUAGAAAACCAACAAUGUUUCACAAGUCUACUUGACAGAGAAAGAUAGUGACAGAGUAUGAUUUUUUGCAAUGAGAGAAAUCAAGUGAAAAAUUACCAUAAAAAAUGAAAGUAUUAGCUUUAUCAUAUAGUAAAAAAAGAUGUAAUGGCCAUACUUUCAUUAAUGACAAAAGUAAGGCUUCAUUGAGGUAUGGUGCAUGUAAGAGUGAGUCAAAGACGCAACCACACCAAUAUCUUAGUGGAUUCGGCCAAAUAAAAGAUAAAGGAGGGUGGCGGAGUGCUUAACACUUCAUCUAUUAUAUCAUAUGUACAUGAUUUAACUAAAUGAAACCGAAAAGGUCCAAAAUUUUGUACACGACAUAUUAAUAUAUACCAUAUGAAUUAAUACUUAGGUAUAUUCUAUGGAAAUUUUAUUUUCGUAAAAUAAUAAUUUUCACUAGUUAAAAUACAAGGGUUGAUAUACUUAUUGGUAAUCAAAUUCAAAUAAAUAUUCAAUAAGGGACUACCUGAUAAAUGUGUAACCCUAUAGUAUCAUAUGUUAUUAGUAAUUCAUUCUAUAAUGAUUCUUAAGAAUAUAGAUCUAACAAUCUCCCACUUAUACAAGAUUCAUUAUAGAUUGACAUAGAUAGUAGUUGAAGUGUAGCAACAUAUUGUUGGCGCUAACAACACGCGAAGAGGUGCCAUUUACCAACAUCCAAUUCUAAGAGCUCAAAGUUGUAACAAAUGUGUAAGGUAAGUUAAUCAAAUUUUCUUUUAUUACAAACAUGAUAUUGGAUGUGAGACAUGGAAUGCAAUCAUUCUAAUUUGUUUUCCAACUAUAAGUAAGGCACCUUAUAUGUCAAACUCUCAUCACAUAAGAGGAAUUAAUCUCAUCUUAACUACAUACGCCCCUUGUAUAGUUAGUACUAUAUCCAACGACGACCUUUAUAACUCCAUGAUUAUAAACAUAGUUUAACCAUUUCAAAGUACAUCAAUUUAGAUACCUAAGUUCCUAAUAUGCAUCGUAGGUCAAAGGAUACAAACAUAUUACCCUUUUUCAAGACUCAAAUAUGAUAGUGAUCAAUGAAGUGAUUCUUGAAAUGGGUCAUAAAUAGUUUUUCUUUAACAACUACAUAUCUACUUGAAUUCAAUGAAUUGCCAUUUUCAUCACAUGAAAUCAACGAAUCUAAUUGAUAUUAGUCUUUAUUCAUAGUUUCUCCCUUAACAAUGAAUGACUAUGGAUAGUUUAGAAUAACUAGUUUAUUUAGGGAUUAAACAUGAUAACAUACAACAUAAGUACCUUAUUAUACGAGAUAUACCCCAUGUGUCAAAUUAGAUAUAAGGUCAUAUAUAGUUUUGUUUAUUUAACUAUUAAUAAAGUAUAUAUUUAAAUCCAAUUACUAGCUAAUUGAAGUCCUAUUCCUUUUGCAUGACUCUCAAACUUAUUUUGAGAAAGAGGCUUCAUGAAGGGAUCUUCUAGAUUAUCAUUUAUAUGAACCUUAUCAAUGAGUACAUUUCCCAAUUCCAAUUCCAUACGAAUUUAAUUGUGUUUCCAUUGACUACGCCUAGUCUUGUUGGUAACCACUAGGUCUCUUGAGAUAACGAUGACACCAGUGUUGUCGCACAUUAUCUGAAUGGCAUUUUUGAUGGUUGGAAAAGCAUCCAAAUCACCGAUGAAAUUCUUCCUCCAAUCAACUUCUUGAGCGGCCUCCGAUGUAACUAUGUACUCAUAUUUUGUUGUAGAUAGUACCACCACCUCUUGCUUUGAAAUUUUGCACGAAAUUCCUCCUCCAUUGACAGUGAACCGUUGGGAAAUAAUCCAAUUAUAUAUGUCCUUAGACCGUUUAUGAAAUUAAUUAUAUUCAUAAGAUAUAAUUAUUACUUGUAUCCUAAGGUCUGACGAAAUAAGUAACUAGGUCUACACAAGGGCCUUACCUUAAGCGGUAGGAGUGGCCUCUCAUUUGAGUGAUGGGUUUCGGGAAACUAAAAACGAAUUUUUUAUAAAAAACAAAACAUAAGACUUUAAAAGUAACUAGUUUAUUUUUAGACCAUUUUAAAAGAACACCAAGAUGAUCUAAUUACAUGAACUAGAAAGAUUAUGACAACCAGUAAAUAUUAAGAAUACAACCUUCAAAUACUUAGAUCCCACUUGAUAUUGAGGAGUUGAUGAAGAUGCUAAAAAUUCAAAUUUCGAGUUUCUUUAUAAUGUAUCCAACUACAAGAGUAAGCACCCAAGAAUGCUAGUUCUUCAUCUUGUAUGAAGUACAUCUUAAUCCUUUAAGUGUUUACCACAAUUAAGCACUAAAUUAGAUGCACCUCUAAGUACCAAAUAUUCACUACACUUAAAAAUACAAGAAGAAGAGGAGGAGAGGGGAUGCUCUCGGAUUUAGGCAUCAAUAAAUAAAGAGCAGGGAAAAACUAGCAACUAUUGCAAGCCAUUACACUCCUUUCUAUACUUGCACAUUACAGUUUAAGCCCAUAGCUUUUCAUAAGUUAGAGGAAUGGCUUUUAAGAGCAUGGUGUUGUAAUAAGAAAAGCCAACAAGCAACCUCUUGCUCAUGCUAUCAAACUUACGAACUAAAGAGAGAGUAUGAUGAUAGUGUUCAAGCUACACUAACUAGAUAAACUAAAGUGACUACUAUAAGUUAGUGGAAUACUAAGUGUCCAAAAACUUAUACAUGGCUUAUUAAAUCAUACCAUAUGAUAUAGUAGCUAGUUGGAAUAUAUAUAUAUAUAUAUAUAUAUAUAUAUAUAUAUAUAUAUAUAUAUAUUCNNNNNNNNNNNNNNNNNNNNNNNNNNNNNNNNNNNNNNNNNNNNNNNNNNNNNNNNNNNNNNNNNNNNNNNNNNNNNNNNNNNNNNNNNNNNNNNNNNNNNNNNNNNNNNNNNNNNNNNNNNNNNNNNNNNNNNNNNNNNNNNNNNNNNNNNNNNNNNNNNNNNNNNNNNNNNNNNNNNNNNNNNNNNNNNNNNNNNNNNNNNNNNNNNNNNNNNNNNNNNNNNNNNNNNNNNNNNNNNNNNNNNNNNNNNNNNNNNNNNNNNNNNNNNNNNNNNNAUAUAUAUAUAUAUAUAUAUAUAUAUAUAUAUAUAUAUAUAUAUGUUCUAUCCAUUUUUGUCAUCUUCUAAAGAUCUACAAAUACUAUAUGAUUUUAACACGAAGUGUUGGAUCGAUUAAAAAUUCAACCAUACAUGUACCAAAUCUCAUUCCUCAUAGCUUCCUCUAAUUUUAUCUUGUUGUGCCUUAUAUAGCUUCCAAUAGUUCACAGACUUACAUCGUAAUCUAUCUAUGACUCAUUUCCCUUGUGACAUGCAGUCAAUAAGGUCUAUGACGUCUUCUAUUAGAUAUAUGUGGAAGAGGUAGAGAGAUGUCAUUUUCUUUAAUACAGUUACCCUCUAAUUAAGUUCCAAUGUUUUUCCUAUAGAUUCUUUGUUAAUUGAUUAUUGACUCUUAUCAAGAUCAAAGCGGCUCUCACUAGUUCUUUUGAAUAUCAUCUCUCUCUUUCGAAGUACUGCCCUUAAAGAAACAAAUACUUUAUUCUCUGAAGGUUUCCAAAACAUAAUAUAGACGUCUAACGAAAUAACCUAUCUCACAGAGCAUUUCCUAAGAACUUUCUCAGGUUUGUACAAUACCAAGGACUCUUGUAACACUCAUUCAUGGUACAAUCCAUGAACUAUUUAUAAGCAUAGUACGAUUCAUUAGUUAAAAUUAAACAAUGAUUAGUUUCUCUAUUGAACUACAUUGCUUAUGGAAAUACUUGGUUUGAGAUGAAAUGUGAAACAAUUCCAUCAGAUGAUCGUUAAACUUUGACCAAAGUUCUCACUAUCGUAUUGGAUCUGAGUUUCAUAUAGUUUUGCUCAGUUGACUCUUAACUUCGCUUUUGUGACUAACUUGAACAGACAAUUAGUGUGAACUAAUUCCAACAAAUGAUAGCAUCAAGAAGUGAUUUGUUUAUCAUUUAUCUUGAUAUUAUAAGAAAUAUAUUAGUAAAAAGACUUAUGGUCUAAUGAUUUCCAACAUUCUAUCCAGUUGAAUAUUUGGUGAUGCACUUCUCAUUCACAUAUUCAAGACAGUGAUCUAAACAUUUUGGAUCGACAUGCAAUGUGGUUAAUCUGAACGGCUAAUUAAUGUAAGCUAAUUACAACAAAUACUCCGCUACUGGAUGCUGUUAGUGUCAUUAUUCUUAAAACACAAUAUUUGCAUUUAUCACAAGACUUAGAGUCAGAUGAUUUCCAAAAUCUGAAUCAACUAGAUGUUUGUAACGCACCUCUUAUUCAUAUGUCCAAAAAGAUGACUCCAUAAUGCAUUUAAUCCAACAAAUCAAUCUUCAUUGAACUAUUAUUACUAUACUAGUUUUAACAAUUUUUUGACUUACUUUUAAACAAAAAAACAUAUGAAAUGUUCUAUGUUUAAAUAAGCUAGACCUAUGUUACAAAAAAUUGUAUAAACAACUUCAACCAUAAGACCGUAGACUUAACAUUUAUAAGAACGACUCAUCUUAUGAUCCUAAGGACAGUAAAGGAACUCGAUUUGAUGUCCUUGAUCAUAAUCAGUACUUUAUGUUAUAGUAUAUUACUUCUUUUUGGUCACUACAUAUUCUUGCAAAUGUCAAUAGCUAUCUUUAAGAGACACACUCAAGGAUUUGAAGUAAUAAUCUAAUGGUGUUAUGGAUAUAUUACUCUAAUUAUAGGCUAAACACUUGGAAGAACAAGUUGACUCUAGAUCUUUACAAAAUAUUUUUGGGGCCCCGUUAUAGAUGAUCAAUCAACUCUUCUUAGGUUUCAGUCUACUUCAUAUACUUUGGGCAUUUGUGCUUUUCUUAGUAAUUAAUUUAGCAUGUCAGAAUACGUCUCAGAAUUGGCCUUCUUCUAUCUUUCACAUUUGAUGUUGUAGAUGGAUAUACCAACUUAGAACACCCUUUUGCCUAUGGUCAAUUGGAUUUCUUCUUCUUGAAACUUUUUUCAUAAUAUCUAAUCAUAUGAGCAUCUGAAGCUAUGAGUUCUAUGCUUAUCCAUUUUAGUCAAAAAAAAGGUUCUCAACAUGCUAUGUGUAACGCCCACAGAUUCGGGCUAGUCAAUUUAGAGACAAUAAGCGUCAAAAAAAUUAUCUUUUAACGAAAGAUGAUUUAGAAUGAAUAAUCUUAACCAUGUUAUAGUAUAUGUCACAACGGUUCUGUACAUAUAAAGAACGUCGAAAUCUGAGUUAUCACGAAGAAGUUAAGAUCUGUCGAAGUUUUAUAGCUAAACUGACAAGACACCGUGUAACGUAAAAAGUGGAUUUUACCGAAUAGCUCAAUUAUCAACAUUAAUACAAUUUAUUUAUCAAAAGUUGUUUAUCACAUAAACCAGGAUCCUCCAAGACAUAUCUCCAAUGAGAGUGUGUGUACAAUCAAGCUGGGCCAUCCCGCGAUCAUCGGAACUACCUGAAACACAUAACACAUAACAUGGUAAGCACGAGGAUUAGUGAGCUCCCCAAAAUACCACAUACAACUCAUUAGCCACUCUAGGCUAUAACUCGAUAAGACCCUCCGGUCAAUGUGUCUCAGUGGGACCCUCUGGUCCCAACUCAGCAAGCUUAUAAUAACAAUACUCGACAUAAAAUCACAAAGACAUAAUGCAGAAUAUCAAAUACGCAAAUAAUCACAAUAAGCAGCUCAAUCACACAAGGUACCACUCAAGGCAAGUAUAGUGAGAAGACUCACCUUGCAAGAAGUCAGCAAAACUCGAACUCAAACUACCGGUCUAGCCUCUGCCUAACAUACACAACAAUUAUCCCUAAUUAAUCACGGCUCUCAAGAGGCUACUCAAUUUCACAGAAGGGCAAAUGACCAUUUUACCCCUCAAUGGCCCUAAAUGUCCAUAAUUUGACCCAAACCCUAAAAGUCAACAAAAGUCAACGGCAAGGAGUACGUUGCACGUACCAGCUCCUUACGCUGGGCGUACUCAGCUGCCAUGCAGAUAUCGGGGACGCGCGUAACAGAAUUACGCCCAACAUCCACCUUAAUGUCCUCCAGGGGUACCACCAUCGUGUCAUCGGCUACACACUUCCUCAACUGGAACACGUGGAAGGUGUUGUGAAUCUGACUCAAAUAUGCAGGUAGCUCCAACCGGUAAGCUACCCUACCCACUCUGGCGGUCACUCUGGAAGGACCAAUGUACCAGGGCCCCAACUUGCCCCGCUUCCGAAAUCGGAUCACCCCUUUCCAUUGGGGUACCUUCAAUAGUACAAAACCUUCAAUAGUACAAAACCUCUGUUUGACCUGCUGAAUCUGCUCACUCAUCUUCAUCACUAUCUCAGUGCCACCUAUCACUCGUUGUCCUAUCUCUCCCCAAUAAAUGGGAGUCCGACACCUCCUCCCAUAAAGAAGCCCAAAGGGAGGCAUACCAAUACUCAAAUGUUGGAUGUUACUGUAAGAAAACUCAACCAAGGGCAAAUAGGUUUCCCAACUCCUCAUGAAAUUUCUUUUAGAACUUGGAAGCACAGCGCACGUCUCAGUCUGACACUAUCGAGGUCGGCAUUCCAUGCCGAGCUACCACCUCCCUCACAUAAAUCUCGACCAGUCUUUCUGCAAAAGAACUCUCACUAAUAGCAAGGAAGUGAGCACUCUUCGUCAACCGGUCCACAAUCACCCAAAUCGCAUAAACCCCGUGCGUAGUUCUCGGUAACUUGGUGAUAAUGUCCAUAGAAAUAUGUUCCCACUUCCAGUAGGGAAUCUCCAGAGGCUGCAAUGGACCAUGCGGUCGUUAGUGCUCCGCCUUAACCCGACGACAGGUCAAACACCUCUCUACAACCCAAGCCACGUCGCUCUUCAUACAGGGCCACCAAUAGUCCCUCUCCAGGUCCAAAUACAUCUUAGUGGCCCCCGGGUGGAUCAAAAAUCUCGAUCUAUGCACCUCCUAAAUCAGAAUACGACGAGCUCCACCUGUAUAGGGGACCCAAAUCCGCCCAUGGAAGGUCAUAAGCCCACGACUGUCCAUCACGAACUCGGGUGCCUGGCCAACCACAUGCUCUCUCUUGCGGUUCUCCGACCUCAUAGCCUCCACCUGGGCCUCUCAGAUGGUAUCUAAGACUGGAGUCAUCACUAACAUCCUCAUACACAUAUCUCAGAUCAUAGCACUCUCUGCUCUGCAGCUCAAGCCAUCGGCUACCACGUUAGCCUUGCCUAGGUGGUAUAAGAUCUCACAGUCGUAGUCUUUCACUACAUCCAACCAUCUCCUCUGCCUCAUAUUUAGAUUGGGCUGAUCCAUCAGAUACUUCAGGCUCUUAUGGUCUGUGUAUAUGGUACACCGGACACCAUAAAGAUAGUGGCGCAAAAUCUUGAGGGCGAACACCACUGCCCCUGAUUCCAAAUCAUGAGUGGGGUAUCUCGUCUCAUGAGGCUUCAGCUGCCUCGACGCAUAUGCUAUCACAUGACCCCUCUGCAUCAACACUACACCCAUCCUCGAAAUGGAUGCAUCACAGAAGACUACGAAGUCCUCCACUCCCUCCAAAAGAGACAAUACAGGAGGUUCUUACAAUCUCUGGCGAAGAGUCUCGAAUUAUGCCUGCUGCUCAGGCCCCCAAAGAAAUGCAACGCCCUUCCAGGUCAAUCUGGUGAGAGGAACCACAAUCUUGGAGAAAUCCUUGAUAAAUCUCUGAUAGUAGCUGGCCAAUCCCAGAAAACUCCUGAUCUCGAAUGGGGAUAUCGACACCUCCCAUUGCAUGACGACCUCAAGCUUGGCCGGAUCGACCAAAAUCCCAUUCUGAUUAACGAGGUGUCCUAGGAACUGGACCUCUCGUAACCAGAAAUCACACUUGGAGAAUUUAGCAUACAGCCUCUCCAACCUCAAUACCCCAAGAACCUUACGCAGAUACCCCUCAUGCUGCUCCGUGGACCUUGAAUAUACCAAGAUAUUGUCGAUGAACACGAUCACCGACCGGUCCAACAUAGUCCUGCACACCCGGUUCAUGAGAUCUAUGAAUGCUGUCGGCGCAUUAGUGAGCCCGAAAGGCAUCACCACAAACUCAUAAUGCCCAUAACGAGUCCUGAAGGCCGUCUUCUGAAUAUCCUCCUCUCGUACUCUCAUCUGGUGAUACCCAGAUCUCAAAUAAAUCUUGGAAAACCAAGAUGCCCCUGCAACUGAUCGAACAAAUCGUCGAUCCUCAGAAGUGGAAAACGGUUCUUGACCGUUAGCUUGUUUAACUCCCGGUAAUCAAUGCACAUCCAGUGUGAACCAUCCUUUUUCCUGACAAAAAGGAUCGGCGCCCCCCAAAGCGAGCUACUCGGUCGAAUAAAUCCCUUCCCCAGCAGCUCCUGAAGCUGCGAGGAUAACUCAUGCAUCUCUGGCGGCACAAGGCAAUAAGGUGCCUUGGCGAUUGGUGCUGCUCCCGAAACCAAAUCAAUUCGAAAUUCCACUUCCCUCUCAGGAGGCACACCCAGUAACUCCUUGAGAAAAACAACAGGAAACUCUCACACUAUCGGAACCUCGGAAAUAGAUCUCGGCCUCUCUGACACAAUUCGCGUAUCCAUCACGUAUUCCAAGAAACCCCUACAUCCCCACUGUAAACUCUGCCUUGCCCUGGCAGCAGCGCAAAAGGCUGACCCGGAGCUGGUACCCUCUCCAUACACGGUAAGCACUCCCCCACUGGGAUCUCGUAUAGUCACCAACUGAUGCUUGUAAUCGAUCAUUGCUCCAAAAUAGCUCAACCAAUCCAUGCCCACAAUGACACAGACAUCACCCAUCGCAAUCGGUACCAGGUCAAUCGGAAACUCGACACCAAAAAUCUUCAGCACACAUCCCCGGAACACAUUAGCAGCAAAAACCGCAUGCUCAUCGCCUAUAGAAACCCUCAAAGGGUGACUUAACUCCUCGCGUCGGAUACUAUUGUGACAACUAAAAGCUAAAGACACGAAGGAUCGAAUCGCACCCGAAUCAAAUAACACUAAAGAAGGUACAGAGUUCACAAGAAAUGUACCUGGAUAUAGCAUAGAAUAAACACAAUAAAUCUCAUAGAAGAAAACAAUAAAGAAACAUCAUGUGCUGCACGGACCUCCUCCGUUGUCAGCUGAAAAGCUCUCCCACGAGCCUUUAGAGCCUCGGUCUUCACUGGUCGAACAACAGCAACAUGCAAAGCAGCAGGAGCCGAACCUUGAGCUGACCCCUCAACAAGCUGAUGGCACUCGGACUUUUGAUGGCCACUAUGAUUGCAGUGAAAGCAGACUGCAAAUCCCUUGGGGCAAUCCUUUGCCAUGUGCCCCUCCUUGACACACAUGUAGCAAAUCCCAGCAUUGCAAGAUCCCUCAUGACUCUUGUUGCACUUGCCACAAGUGCGGCCCUUCUGGCCUCCUGAUCUUGAAUCGGUGGGCUUACCCCACUUGGCUGUCGGCUGCGACUGCACCGUCCGCCGGUCUCUCCCAUGAGACUUCGCAUCCUCCCUAGCCUGGGUCUCCAACUCGAUCUCCCUCCUCCUAGCAUUUGCCUGAAGCGCCGCAAAUGUCCGAUAAGAUGAGUUCUCCACGAACUCUCGAAUAUCCCUCCUCAGAAUGCUCAAAUAACUGCUCAUGCGUGCCUGCUUAGUCGACACAUGCUCAAGGCAGAACAACACCCUCUCGUGAAACAUUCGAGUAAACACAGUCACCGACUCCGUCUUCUAUCUGAGAGACAGGAACUCUUGGGGCAACCGUUCCCUAUCCACUGGGGGAACAUACUCAUCAUGGAACAUCAUCACAAAUCUCUCCUAAGUCACUACAGUAUGCUCUGUGGGAGUAAAGUUGGCUGUCGCAAAUUACCACCGGUCCUUCACUCCCAAGCGAAGCUGGUUCAGCGCAAACCGCACCCUCAAAUGCUCUGGGUAGGAACAUGUAUAGAAACAUCCCUCGAUGUCAGAGAUCCAUCUAAUCGCAGAAAUCGGAUCCUGAGUCCCAUCAAACUCUGGUGGCUUCAUGUUGCAAAACUCCCGAUAUAGCAACGAGUCACCCCCUACGGCCUGGCAGCAACGACUGCUACGGUGGCUGCAGCAUCAUGUCACACCCCGAAACCCAGGGCGGAAACGUUCCGGGGCGGAGGUGACUUCAUGUUGAAUAUCAUAACCAAUGUACAUAGUAAGCUCAGUAAACACAAAACAUUACAUUACAUAGAAUCAUUUACAUUUGUUUGAAAGUAAAGUUAUACAAGUGUUAUACACAUAUAUCAUAUGAACAAAAGCAAAGACGAGUCUUCUAAAUGCUCCGUCUUCUCCAAAAGAUGGCGGUGUACCUAUCUAAUGCUGACCUGAGAAUACAAGCAGUUUGGAAAUCAACAUAAAGCUGGUGAGUUCAUAAGCGAUUUAGUUUUGAAAAGAAUGAGUUUCCUUUGGUUUUCUGAAAAAAGACGUUAUUCAAGAAAAAUCACAUAUUUUCUUAUAUAAAAACAGUUUAGUUAUCAUUCGUUACACAAUUCGAUUAUGAAUAGUUAUGUUAUCCCAGGAAAAUCCCAUAUUUUCCUAUUAGUUUAGUUAUCCAUUUGUUAUUUAAUUCGUUUGCGAGUUGUUAUGUUAUCCCAGGAAAGUCCCAUAUUUUCCUAAGCGUUGUGGUUAGUUCUUAGUUUAGAUUUCGAUGUACUAGUAUCUACCAUACUUAUAAUAUUAGUUAGGUAUUCUGAUAUCUUAGUUAUCCUACACUCGAAUGUCGAUUAUCUACUAUACUUAGUUGUAUUUUCGAAUAUUUGGAUACACUUAGAAACAUACAUUAACUGUAUAUUCGAUGUUCUGGUGAUUUCCAAAAGAGUACAUUAGACGUAUCUUCGAAACUCUGUCGACAUCCAAAGGCGUAUGUUUUCGAAACUCAGUCGAUGUCCAGAGGUGUACUUUCGAAUUAUUUUCGAAACUCUGGUGACACUCAAGGCGUACAUUAACUGUAUAUUCGAAGUCUUGGCAUCAUCCAAAGGCAUGCUUUCGUAUUCGCAUUCGUAUUCCUAUUCCUAUUCGCAUUCGUAUUCGUAUUCGUAUUCGUAUACCUAUUCCUAUUUGUAUUCGUAUUCGUAUUCGUAUUCACAUUCGUAUUCGUAUUCGUAUUCGUAUUUGUAUUCAUAUGGCUAUUCUUUUUCUUAUUCGUAUUCGUAUUUUUAUUCAAAUUCUUAUUACUACUCCUAUUCGUAUUCGUAUUCGUAUUCACAUUCGUAUUCGUUUUUGUUUUCGUAUUCGUAUUCGUAUACCUAUUCGUAUUCGUAUUUUAUUAGUAUUAAUCUUAGUUUAUGAUUAGUAUGAUUUCUUUUGCGAAAUGUAAUAUAGUUUAUAAUACUUUUUAAAGAAAUCUGCAUUUAGUCUAACAGUUUACUCUGCAAUUCAAACCAUUGGUUAACACGAUUUUCGAUAUUAAAAGCAUACAUAAAAUGAAACAUUUGAGUUGAAAAUAAGUUUAAGUACAAGAUUUCCUUGUACUUUUGCUUGUAUUCCCCCCUGAAAACAUUUGAAAAACACAAAAAAAAAGGUAGGGGUAUGAACUCACCGGUUGAGGAAUGCGUCGGUUUGGAUCCUAAACGUCAGUUCUAGGUUUACAAACGCACAAGAUUCCUAUGUAAUAUGAAAAGAUACACAUUUGUAUCUAAUUAGGACUUUAAAUUAUUAAUUAGUUGGGGAUAUACACUUCUAGGUACAAAAACACUUCAUCACAAGUGUUUGGAGGGACCCGGGUGACAUCUAUGGACACAUAUAGCUUGGAUAUGGAGUUUACUCUUCAAGAGUAAACUCACACAAGAGUUUUUGGCCCUAAAGACCCACUCCCCAUGAGUUUACGACCAUAAACUCAUGGUGGGGUGUUCUAGAGUGCUAAAUGGCCUUGAAUCAAUUGAGGGGUAAUUCUAGGUUUGGUUUCAAGGCAUGGGAAAGUAGUUUGGGCAUCUUAGGGACCAUUUGAGGAGUUUACGGCAGUAAACUAUGUGUUUACGGCCGUAAGCUCUAGUAUACAUAUUCAAAAUGUGUUUUGGUGGUCCUUAUUCAAUCACAUGUGAUUUCAAGCCAUUUGACAAGCCAAGGGGUGAAGUUUAGGCAUCAUUUGACUAUGUUUUGGGAGUUUACGGCCCAGGAACCCAUCUUUGGAGGGUUUAUGGCCGUGAACUCCUUAGGGAGUUGUUUUCAUCAAUUUUUAGGCUUCUAAUUCAUUUGUGGUUGCUUCUAGAUUUUAGUUCAAGGCUUAGGAGGUGUGUAAGUGGCAAUUUAACACCUUAGAAUGAGUUUACUCCCCAUGAAUGGGUGUUUACGGCCCAAGCAUGUUCUUGGGCAGUAAACUCAUGUUUACUCCUCUAAAAUGAUGUUCAAGGUGUUCUAAGUCCGAUUUGAUAAGACAUUAAUUCAUAUCUAAGCCUCAAAGUUGGUUUGGAAGGGUUUUUAAGGCACAAAAACCCACUUUAUGUGUGUUUAUGGCCCAAGCAUGUUUUAGGGCCGUAAACACAUGAACAUGGUCCUAAAUCAUAGAUAAAUCACGAAUUUGAAGGCUAGGGAUGUUAAUCUAUGAGUUAGGGGAGUUACCUUGAUGAUUUGAAGUCUUAAUUUGAUGUUUUUGGACCUAAUACUUUGGUUUGAGGAGAGAGGUUAGAGAGAGAGUGCAAAAGCUUCAAAUGAGGCUUAAACCACUUUAUAUAUAGUUCGGGUUUGGGACGUUUCCACGAGUUUCUAAUGAGUUUGGACAAUUAUUAAGUCAUAAUAACAAACUCAAAUAAAUGACUUAAUUUUUGAAACGAACGGAAACAAUUCAAGACGAUGAAUUUUAAAAGACGGAACGGGUUACGACGACGGAACGAGCUUCACGUUGUCACACAGCAGCCGCCUCUAAAACAACAUCAUAUCACUCAUCAAAUGUCUCGAUCAGAGUGGUGUUAAUAGACCCAAACAUCUCUGGAAUAGCCUCCCGAACAGUUGCGACCACCUCAUCAUGAAUCAUCCAGUGAAUCUCGUCAUCGCUAACUCCACUGGUUUCUGGGGUGUGGCGUGUAGCUACCAUGAUGUCUCUAAAACACAACACCAAAUCAUCAGAGACUCGCUUGAGUAUACUCACACUCGAUUACUUACUCCUAGUACCCUAUGGAUUCGUACUUAGGUUGCCUGCAGAUCUGGUGCUUUCAGUAGUACGGGCCCAAUACUACCUUCCACACCUAAUCCUUAGUCACCUAAAGUCAUCCUCCUAGGAUUCUAAUUCACAAAUACUCUAUAUCUAGAAGACUCCUCUCAAGCUCAUCUAGGUAUCUCCUCCUAGAUUAUCUCUCGACUCAAAACUCCUCACAUACUCAGAGAAAAUAGCAAAUAUCACUGAUCAAGAACAACUCCUAGGUUAAGGCAUCACAAACCAAGCAACUCUAGCCCUAGAAUAUGAAAUACCUAGCCUAAUUUAUUGAUGGGUUUUGGUCAUAAGACAUCCUAUGUGCUCAUACAAACCCUAAUGCUUGGAUCUAGGUUUCAUUAUUGUACAUGCAAGUUAUCCAAGGCUAUAAACCCUAAUUCUAGCAUAUGGGAAUCAAUAUUAACAUGUAAUUAGGUUUAAGAUAUUACCUUUAUUGUUAUGUAGCAAUAACAAUCCCAAAUCUCCUUGAAUUGACUUUGGAAGGCUUAGAGUCACAAGUGUCACUCCUCUAAUGGCUUACAAACACCAUAAGCAAGUGGAGAAGGUAUAAAGAGAGAGGAGAGAGGUAGAAAUUCAUCCUUAUAUGCUCUAGGGAUCAAGUGUACGAAAUCCUAAGGCCUUAGGGGUCUUUAUAUAGGGUUGGGAUUAGGGUUUCAGUCCUUAUCCUUAUCUAGUUACUUGCCCAUCAAGCAACCAUAAGAAAAGCCUAUGAAAAUCCCUAUCUCUUGGACCUUGAAUGAUUUUAAGGAUAUCCUUAUCCUUGAAUCCGUCCAUCCUUCAACAAGGAUAACCAUUGCCCUAUUUUGCAAAUAUCACAUAAUUACAAUUCAGCCCCUCUAGUUUAAUUAAUUACAUUUGAUCACAAAAUUAAUUCUUAAUUAAUUAUUGACCAAUAUUAAUUAAACAAAUAUGAUUUCUCCUUUAAUAUAUUAUUCUUAUAACAUAUUAAUAAAUCAUAAUAACCUCUCUCUCUAUUUAUUUCUCCAAUCAAGUUGCUUUGGUGAAGGCAACCCAAAAGGACCAUGCACCAUCGGGUCAAGUACAUACCAAAAUAGUUAUGGACUUAGACACUAAUCCAACAGUCUCCCACUUGGAUAAGUCUAAUAACUAUUAUGCGUAUGACUUCGGAUCCUAAUCUGCAAUCGUAGCUUUCCAAAGCCGCUGUCAACUCUGAUCAUAUCAGAUACGCGUGUCCUUAGAUAAGGGAUCAUAUAUUCCUCCAUUCUAGAUAUCAUAUGAGAUAUGAUUUCAAAUCAUUCUCUUU